GCGGGCGUGGCGGAAUUGGCAGACGCGCGAGAUUUAGGUUCUCGUGCCGAAAGGUGUGUGGGUUCGAGUCCCACCGCCCGCACCA
Molecule: transfer RNA, 85 nt
Filed under: Tistrella mobilis
Lineage: Bacteria; Pseudomonadati; Pseudomonadota; Alphaproteobacteria; Geminicoccales; Geminicoccaceae
Also listed under: 1 other name
Description: tRNA-Leu
Rfam family: tRNA
About the family: Transfer RNA (tRNA) molecules are approximately 80 nucleotides in length.
Source: RNAcentral